This 38316-nucleotide long non-coding RNA is filed under the name Panicum hallii. RNAcentral describes it as "long non-coding RNA (PHAL_LNC000019)". The record is from RNAcentral. Lineage: Eukaryota; Viridiplantae; Streptophyta; Magnoliopsida; Poales; Poaceae.
AUAAUAUGACAGGAAUAAUGCCACAGGUAAUGGGGCACUUAACCAGCUUAACUGCUCUUAGCCUAUCUAACAACAGCAUUAGUGGAUCUAUAUCACCGGGGCUACAGAAUUUCACUAGUUUGGAGGAAUUAUAUCUCAGUUCCAACUACCUUAGUGGCCAGAUACCAUUGCUGCCAAGAGGCCUCAAAAUGUUGGAUGUCUCCGUGAACUUCUUGUCUGGGCAUUUGCACUUCGGAGCUCCAAAUAUUGAAGUACUAAUUCUAUCCUCUAAUAAAAUUACUGGUCCUAUUCCUGAAAAGUUUUGUGAGUUGCAAUAUCUACAUGUCUUGGAUUUGUCAAACAAUUAUUUCGCGGGAGAACUUCCUGUAUGUUCUUCGAUGCCAUACCUACACUGCUUGCUCCUAAGUUACAACAAAUUUUCUGGAAAGUUCCCAUCCUUGAUCCAACGCCUCUCCAAUCUAACUUUGCUUGAUCUUUCAUGGAACAAUUUCUAUGGGACAUUACCAAUAUGGAUCGGACAUCUGGCAGAGCUGCGAUUCCUAGAUCUGAGCCACAACAUGUUACAUGGGAGUAUUCCAGCGAAUAUCACACAUCUUAGACGACUUCAACUCUUAAAUUUAUCAUUCAACAAUAUAUCAGGAUCAAUUCCUCAGUCAUUAUCAAAGCUAAUGGCAAUGACAAUAAUAUAUCAGGAUCAACCUGAUUGGUACGUAGGUUGGGUAAAUAAUGAGUUCCUAGAUAUUUUGUCUGCAGUGACGAAGCAUCUACAACACAAGUAUGCCGCACAAAGUAUUUUUUAUAUUGUUGACAUCGACUUGUCUGUCAAUCAUUUAAUUGGAGGAAUUCCAGAUGAAAUAGCUUCUCUUGAUGGAUUGAAAUACUUAAAUUUGUCAAGGAAUUGCUUGAGAGGAAACAUUCCAAAGAAUAUUGGCGCUAUGGAAUUAGUGGAAUCAGUUGACUUCUCAUGGAACAGUCUUUCUGGUGAAAUCCCUGCAAGCUUGUCAAACUUGACAUUUUUAAGUGUCUUGGACUUGUCAUAUAACAAUCUAUCAGGAAGAAUACCGUCUGGGCGUCAGCUUGAGACCGUCUACGACAACAACCCAACUAUGUAUGAUGGGAAUAAUAAUCUCUGCGGACCCCCUCUUCAGAGAAACUGCUCAUCAGGAAAUAGUGAUCCUAAGCAUGGUAAUGAAAAGGCAAGCGGAGAGAAUUCAGAAUCAUUGUUCUUUUACUUGGGACUUGUAUCAGGGUUCGCAGUUGGCCUCUUGGGGGUGCUGUGUUCUGUACUCUUCAAGAAGCCAUGAAGAAUUGCUUUUAUCCAGUAGCAGAUUUAUUGUUGUGUAAUCAUACAUCAUCAUUUUAAUUUGAGGCCGGCACUCUGUUGGGGUUGGAUAUAUUAAUAACAUGUGGGAUUGCAUGUGGUCAGGUUGCUGAACGGAAUUGCAUGUGGGAUCAGCGAGGUCGUACACCAUUAAUAACAUAGACGGCAUGCAUGGCUGGAAAGCCACGUCACCAGCAUUAUUUCUCGAACACGAAACCUAACCAUUAAUAAGGCUAGUAGGUUCAUGGAGAGUUUUAUCACAUUAAAUUCGAAAAUACCAUAUCAUCAAUUUUGCUGACAAAACGAGAAUAGAGAAGGAAAGAGUUAUAGGGGAUGCGAGAGGAGUUUCAUUGCCUAAAACUCACGUGGCACAGUUACCUAGUUCAGAGGCGGGCUCAGAAUUGGAAGACUGGAUAUUCAAAAAUUUAAAAUCUAUAACAACUUAACCGUUUCAACACUAUUUUUUAGCAAAAAUAUUCUUAAAUACUAUUGAUUUGUAAAAAAUAAUGGGUAUUCAGUGAAUACCCUUGAAUAUCCUCACCCGUCUCUGAUCUGGUUUCCAGUCUUGAUAAGUGAACUAUAAAACUGUACACUGAGACCGGCAUAACAAGACAUGCAUAAUGUUUCUGCCGUCCUUGCUUGAUGGGUCCAUUCUUGCAUUGGUCACGUCACGUCGGGAAGUUCCCUAAACCGGAGCAGCACCCACCUUGCAUUCAUCAGUUCGUCACUGUAUCAACAAGACAACAACGACCACGGAUAACGGAGCAGGCGGGAGGCGGGAGGCGGGAGGCGUGGGCUUUCAUCGGGCCAGGCAGGAACUCCUUCCUCCCUGUAUCGUCAAGACAGCAACAUUACUGCCGUAUCGGUUUGCUAACCUCAGGAGACCAGGCUCAAAUAAGCGCAACGCGGCCCACCCGUCGGGGUUGGAAGGAGGGAAACGGGCCUGAGCUUAACGCUGUUAAAAGCGCGAUUGCCUCGCGUUGGUUGGUGGACUAGGCGUGGGCUCGUUGGCUCUCUCUCGGCCCAUACCGAUGACGACAUCCAAAACUCUGGGCCCCUCCCACGCAGCUGAGCUCCUGUCUGAGAGGCAAGGCCUCCGUGUGCCGUGGAGCCUGCUUCUUCUUCUCGUGGGGCAGCGUUGGGCUCGAUCCAGCCCUCCUUCCAACUCCACCCCAACCCUUUUUGUUUCUUUUUCUCUGCGCUUGUACCACGUCAGGCCAAAUGGCCACAGUGCAGACAACAAGAGAGAAAAGAUCUUUCACAGUAAAGCAAGAAAAGAAACCUUGCAAGUGCAAGUUGUCCUCCACAUGAGCGCACUCAUAUGGUAGUAAAAGUGUUGGCGGAGCAACACCUCUAGCUCUUUCUCCAAAGAAGAAAAGAAACAGAGCGCAUUCAUUCCUACAUUGCUAUGAAUACAUGCGUGCGCGCGUUCAACGGUAAUGCACUUUCUCCAAUCUUUUCUCUACCAUGUGUAUGAACGCGCACGCGCGCGUAUGAUGUGAGUGUUGUGUGCGUCCUUGUAUGUACCCUUAAAAAAGAACCCCAAACAAUUUCAAAAACCUCUUUGCGGGAUGAUGCCAAAAGAGGAAUACGAUAUGCCCUUUUGAUCUCUCCGAACACCUGGUGGACGUGUGUGCAAAAACCAAGCCUAGCUAAGAUGCAGCGCCCGAACACAGUUGGGCGUGAGAUCACGAUGCAGACGGCGGACGGGCAGAGGGAUAGUUCCACGGCCAUCCCCAUCUCCAUUUUGCGGCGAAGGGGACGGAGCAACUUGCGGGGGCCAUACAUGUGUGACUCCAUGAGGCUUACAGAUUUUAGAUCAGUGGCGUCCUGGUUGCUCUAUGAUCUAGUUGCUAUCGUCUUCGCAAAUCUCUGCUGGAUUGAAACCGGGUCAAUGUCGACGAUCGAGAGAGAGAUGGCCGUAGCUCGCAUCGCAAUCUCGUGAAAAGCAAAAGACCUUUGCGACGGCGCUGCCUUUUGUCCGCCACGCUAAUCCAACAAAGCAACUCCACGGAAAAGCCAUUCUAAAGCUUGACGACGAUUGGUAACAACAAGACACACUCAAGAAACAGAUAUGCACAGAAAAAUGUACUACCUCUGCUCUAAAAUAUAACAAUUUUUUACCACCUCUGUUACAAAAUAUGACAACUUUAUGACCAAGUCAAAGUUAAAUAUUUUCAUCUUUGACCAAUAAUAUCUCAAAAAAUAAUAACUUUUAAAUAGAAAAGGUUAUAUAUUGGUUUCAUUAUGAACAAACUAAUAUCACUUUUAUAUCAUCAAUCUUUAUAUUCUUUUUACCAUCUGCGGUCAAAGUUUAAAAGGUUUGGUUUGAACAAACCUAAAAAUAGCUAUAUUUUGAGUCAGAGGUAGUAGGAUGAAAAAAAUCAGUUGGCACUAGAAUCAUGGAUAACAGGAUAGGAAGUGAGCAUAGCUCAGUUACAAAUGUGACAGUAGUAAUAUCUGAACCGCCAAAGUUCAAUUCCUCCACACCUCAAUUUUAAGUGCCUAUUUCUUCUCUCUAAUCUAAUUUUUAGUGGUGUAAUUAAAUCACCACCUAGUUCCUUCAAGAUUGGAUUUCGAGCGGCAGCAGAACAAGAAAAUGACAAAGUAAAAUUGCUGUAUCCAGCCUUCCAGAAGCAGAGCAACAAGCCCAUAGUUGAGCUUCAGAUCAUGCAUGACACGGACGCUGGAUGUUUCUUUGCCCCGGCCGUCUCCAAUGGCGACGACGGGGAGCAACUUGUAACGUUGCAGCCUAACUUUGUUAGUAGCGUCCCUGUUGCUUGCAACUGCAAAGCUGCAAUGCAGUCGCUUUCGCCUUCAGAAAUCUCCACCUCAUUUAUUUAAACCGGGUCAAGGUCCACGAGAGAGAAAGAUAGCGGUUGCUUGCAUCGCAAUCUGACUUGAAUUGGCGGGGAGCUGCAGGCGAGGAAAAUGAUAGGUGAUUAAUUAUUAAUCAAGUCCGUCUUCACAUACAGAGCCUGCUCGCAUCUUCACGCCGUCUUCACAUACAGAGCCUGCUUGGUUACCGCCACCGGACACCACUCGCCACGCACGUGCUGCAUGGCGAGUGGUGGCCGGUAACCAGGCCCAUACUUCCCUGAUUAAUCAGUGAUGUGGUUCUCUCCAAGAGCACAACUACGUUAAUUUGGCCUUGAGAUCUCUUCUACGUUUUCCUUUUUUGAUCAUCGUUUUGUUUUUUGUCAUAACUUUUUAUGGUGGUGAUGUUGUGAUCACAUCUAAUAUAUAUGGGUGAUAAAUCAAUCUACUGUUCCCAUAGAUAUAUAUAUAUAUAUAUAUAUAUAUAUAUAUAUACACACACACACACAAAGCGCACUUUUUGUCAUAACUUUUUAGAUAAGAAAAUGUAGCAUAUUAGUUCCUUUUCAGAGCUGAGAUGCUGCAUUUUUUAUCUUUUUUCAGAUAGCCACUGAUGAGCACCUACUAUUGCCAAGGCAUGAGAAUCAAAUGCCCCCCUUAAUUUUCGAGGAGAUGCGAGAACAAAUGGGGAGGGCCCUCCCAUGUCCCAUAUCAUGAGAUCGAGAUUAAGAAACCCCGCCCAUCCAAUCCAACAGCCGCCAGAUUCCAGCCAGACCUAACUAUUAAUAACAUAGACGGCAUGCAUGGCUCGAAAGUCACGUCACCAGCAUUAUUUCUCGAACACGAAACCUAACCAUUAAUAAGGCUAGUAGGUUCUUAGAGAGUUUUAUUGCAUUAAAUUCGAUGCCACAUCAUCAAUUUUACUGACAAAACCAGAAGAGAGAAGAAAAGAGUUAUAGGGAAUGUGAGAGGAGUUUCAUCACCCUAAAACUCACGUGGCACAGUUACCUAGUUUAGAGGCGGGCUUAGAAUUGGAAGACUGGGUAUUCAAAAAUUCAAAAUCUAUAAAAACGUAACCGUCUCAACACUAUUUUUUAGCAAAAAUAUUCUUAAAUACCAUUGAUUUGUAAAAAAUAAUGGGUAUUCAGUGAAUACCCUUGAAUAUCCUCACCCGUCCCUGAUCUGGUUUCCAUUUUUGAUAAGUGUACCAUAAAAACUAUAUUAUAAAACUUUGCACUGAGACUGGCAUAACGAGGCAUGCAUAAUGUUUCUGCCUUCCUUGCUCGGUCGGUUCAUUCUUGUGUUGGUCACGUCACGUCGGGAAGUUCCCUAAACCGGAGCAGCAGCCACCUUGCAUUCAUCAUUUCGUCGUCGUAUCAACAAGACAACAACUACCGCGGAUGACGGAGUAGUCGGGAGGCGGGAGGCGUGGGCUUUCAUCGGGCCAGGCAUGAACUCCUUCCUCCCUGUCUCGUCAAGACAGCAACACUAGUGCCGUAUCGGUUUGCUAACCUCGGGGGACCAGGAUCAAAUAAGCGCAACACGGCCCACCCGUCAAGGUUGGAAGGAGGGAAACGGGCCUGAGCUUAACGCCGUUAAAAGCGCGAUUGCCCCGGGUUGUUUGGUGGACUAGGCGUGGGCUCUCUCUCGGCCCAUACCGAUGACGACAUCCGAAACUCUGGGCCCCUCCCACGCAGCUGGGCUCCUGUCUGAGAGGCAAGGCCUCCGUGUGCCGUGGAGCCCCUGCUUCUUCUUCUCGUGGGGCAGCGUUGGGCUCGACCCAGCCCUCCUUCCAACUCCACCCCCAACCCUUUUUGUUUUUUUUCUCUUUGCGCUUGUACCACGUCAGGCCAAAUGGCCACGGUGCAGACAACAAGAGAUAAAGAUCUUUCACAGUAAAGCAAGAAAACAAACCUUGCAAGUGCAAGUUGUCCUCCACAUGAGCGCACUCAUAUGGUAGUAAAAGUGUUGGCAGAGCAACACCUCUAGCUAAACAGAGCGCAUCCAUUCCUAAAUUGCUAUGAAUACAAGCGUGCGCGCGUUCAGCGCUAAUGCAGGUUUCUCCAAUCUUUUCUCUACCAUGUGUAUGAACGCGCAGGCGCGUGUAUGAUGUGAGUGUUGUGUGCGUCCUUGUAUGUACCCUUAAAAAGAUCCCCAAACAAUUUCAGAAACCUCUUUGCGGGGUGAUGCCAAAAGAGGAAUAAGAGAUGCCCUUUUGAUCUCUCCGAACACCUAUACCUGGUGGACGUGUGUGCAAAAAUCGAGCCUAGCUAAGAUGCAGCGGCCGAACACAGUUGGGCGUGAGAUCAUGAUGGAGACGGCGGACGGGUGGACGGAUAGUCCCAUGGUCAGAACACAGUUGGGCGUGAGAUCACGAUGCAGACGGCGGACAGGCGGAGGGAUAGUUCCACGGCCAUCCCCAUCUCCAUUUUCCGGCGAAGGGGACGGAGCAACUUGCGGAGGGCCAUACAUGUGUGACUCCAUGAGGCUUACAGAUUUUAGAUCAGUGGCGUCCCGGUUGCUCUACGAUCUAGUCGAUAUCGUCUUCGCAAAUAUCUGCUGGAUUGAAACCGGGUCAAUGUCGACGAUCCAGAGAGAGAUGGCUGUAGCUCGCAUUGCAAUCUCGUGAAAAGCAAGAGACCUUUGCGACGGCGCUGCCUUUUGUCCGCCACGCUAAUCCAACAAAGCAACUCCAUGUAAAAGCCAUUCUAAAGCUUGACGACGAUAGGUAACGACAAGACACACUCAAGAAACAGAUAUGCACAUCGCAAUGGGUACAACAGGUACUCUCACAUCUCUUCUCUUGUUCUCCGUUCUCCCCAAUUUACCCCAACCCCAGGGACUAUUUAGCUGAUUCGUUUUCACUGCAAAAAUUGGUAGUGCUAUUUAGUUGUUUAUGCGUACGGAUGGUGAUGAGUCAUGCUCCAAAUGUUCAUUUAUAAUUCAACUCGGUAUUUUUACCACUCCUAGUUUAAAAAUAUGUAAAAUAUAAGUUCAACUCUUUUUAAGUUUGAUCUUUAAAGUUUUAGAUCAUUUAUCAUCCCUAUGUAUAUAUACAUGGUAGUAGGACUGUUGACAAUUUAGACGAAAUCCACCUCGAUUUGGAGUUUUUCUACUUCCUCCGUAAAAAAAGUGCAACUCAUUUUUCAAGAAGUCAAAUAAUUUCAAAUUUGAUCAAGUCUGUACAGAAAAUUAUUAGCAUUUAUAUCUCCAAAUAGAUUUAGUAUGAAAAUAAAUUACAUGAUUGGACUGUCUAAUGAUACUUACUGUAUAAUAUAAUAUUAAUAUUUAUUUUAUAUAAAUUAGAUUAAAUUUAAAAUUAUUUGACUUCUCGGAAAGCGUAAGUUGUAUUUUUCUUGAACGGAGGGGUUAGGUAUCUACGGAGCUCCAAAAUAUAGUAUCCGGGGGCCAGCAUCUAGCAUGUAUUCAAUUUGCUUCACCCUGCUUGGUGCAUGCCUCCUUCUUUUGCCGUUGUUGGAUUGGAUAUCAGCUCGACCAGAUGAUCGCACUCUCUGAUCUUCCCGAGCCUCGUCGUCCUUCUUCCUAGCAAACCCAACGAAGAAAUCAUAGCUAGUCAGUGUUGGUCAACCGAAUGAGAUUCCACGUGGGUCUUGCAAGGUCUGAGCACUAACCUAACCUAAUCUGUGUUUUGUCGUCGAUGGUCUACCGUAUGUGGUGGGCUGUAUCUACGAACACGCGCCGGGCGCACGACGUCGUUUUUGGGCCCAUCAUGCAAUUGGGCCAGGGAUUACAUUAGUGCCGCAUCGAUUUACUAACCACGGGGGACCAGCCGUGACGAAGCCCACGGCGCCUCGGGGUUGGAAGGGGGCGAUUGUGGAUCAUGGGUGGGCCGAACGCGCCGGCUCCGGAGUCGUGCCGCUCCGAUGCCUCCACCGUCACCCUCCACCAUGGCCACCGCUAUCCCGAACUUCUUCUUCAACUCCGGCCGAGCUGAUGACGACACCGGAAAUGCAUGCUAGGAUCGCUGCCUAUAAUGGACGGUGACCGCUAACGCAUCCAAAUGGGCUUUGCCUCGGGGAAAAGGCCUCCGUACCGUGGGCCUGCUUUCUUCUCGUUGGGCAGCGUUGGGCUCGACCCAGCCCCCUCCUUCCAACUUCACCUCCACUCUCCUUUUUUGUUUUUUCCCUGCCGGAGUCGUAGCCAUCUCCGGAUUUGCUUUGUUCCUGUUUGUGUGGUGAGGUCAGGCUGCUGCGUCAGCGCCUCGCCUUUGUCUGCCGGCAUGAUUGUGCAUAGCCAGGGGCGACGCCACGUUAAGUCUGCCCAGGGUAAAUUUUUUUUGCCACUAAUUAAACUUAAAAUUAUCAUAUAAUUCUAAGAAGUUAUUUUAGUCCCUGAAGGAGUGCACCAUGGUCAAUUGGAAACUAGCUUCGCCCCUGUGCGUAGCGGACACGAGCUUGCGUAGAGCCAGCAAUGGAUCUCCUCAUCCUCAUUUCCCAUGCUGCAGCUUUCACUGGAUAUUUCCUUUCAAAAAAAAAAUCACUGGCUACAGUGACCAGCAGGGCAACGGUUCCAAGCUUCUCAGUACAGAAUCAUUGUUGCGGUAUACUAUAUAUCCUUUCUCCGUACUGUAUCCAGCUGAAAUGCUUCCAAAAUUCUAUUGUGACUUGUAUUUUUCCGAAUUUUCCUUAGUGGGUUAACUUUUUGUUGCCCAUUUGACACGCUUUUGCUAGAAUUUCAUAAGGCCAAUUACUUGACGUGUUAGUGCGUCUUGUAUUUACGUUCCUUUGCCACCUCUAGUUACAUUGUUGUAUGUGUGAUUAUUCAGUUUUAUGUGGACCAUACAUGGCAUUCCAGAACUUGUGGUCACCGGUCUUUAUUUGAAUAUUCAACCACGUAGUCAACUUGUGGUGACAACUACACUACCAAGUAAUUUUCAUUCUUGCCGUGUCAUAUAAUCUCACAUGCACCCACACCAAAAUGCAAAAUCAACAAGCAAAUUUUCACCAUGUAUAAUGAUCAAAUUCUCCUAAAAAAUUGUAUAACGAUCAAAUUCAUAAACCCACAAGGCAAGCGCACCCCCUUCUAAUUUGCUCUAGCUUCACCAUUUGCAGGGUUACAAAUCUUUAUGAUCCAAUCUCCUACGAGCAUUUAUAGAUGUGAGUAUAACUGACUGCGUGAAGAUCCCUGUUAUGAUCAUUUAUAGAAAAAAGUAUUUAACAAAACUUAUCUUCUCCGUGUAUGUGUGAUGGAAAAACGCUGUCUAAUUGGAACCCCAUUUUUCCUUGUGUUUUCCAGCCAUGCAUGCUAGUGUUACGUCGUUGUUAGUUGUUGCUCAGUUUACGUGGACCGCAACGUCUUAUUCCACAACUUUAUGUGGUCACCAGCCUUUGAAAUUCUCCGACGUGCUCUUCAGUCAAUGAAAUUUGCUAGAUCUUUGGAUCGCAGCAGGAAUUUAAGAGCACACACAGCUCAGACCUUCUAGCACUCUACUAGCAGAUAGCUUUGCUCAUUGCCAGGUACUGCAUGCACAGACCACACCACUUACUAUGCAUCCCUCCGCUGCCAAGCUCUUGCUUCUUAUCGUGGCCGCCGCCUCGAGCUUCUUGUCGGUGGCAUCGCAUGGACUGCGGCCGCGGCAGCUCAAGCGGAACGCGAGCUGCUUGCCGCACGAGAGGGACGCGUUGCUGGCCUUCAAGGAAAACAUCACCAGCGACCCUGAAGGCAUCCUCUCGUCGUGGCGACGAGGGCGGAAGGACUGCUGCCGGUGGAUGGGCGUCACCUGCAGCAACCAAACCGGCCAUGUCCUCGAGCUUGACCUAAGCUAUAGAAAUUUGGCAGGCCAGAUAAGUCCUUCCUUACUGUCUCUAGAGCAUCUGGAGCACUUGGAUUUAGGCGGCACAUACUUAUCUGGUCAUGAUGGUCGUUUUCCCGAAUUCCUGUGUUCUUUCAAAAACUUGCGAUAUCUCGACCUCACCCACAACGCAUACGCUUUGCCGAGUGAGGUGCCGCCUCAGCUCGGUAACCUCUCAAACCUGCGACAUCUUGGUCUCGCUUCUAAUUAUUUGUACGCAACCGAUAUCUCAUGGUUAGUUCAUCUUCAUCAGCUUGAGUAUCUUGAGAUGGACGGCAUAAAUCUAAGUACAAUAGAUAAUUGGCUUCAUGUGGUAAACAUGAUUCCAUCUCUGAAGUUUCUCUCCCUUUGGAACUGCUCCCUUCCCAGAGCAAACCAAUCGCUCACUCACAUAAACCUCACAAAACUUGAGGUGCUUGAUUUAUCCACGAACUACUUUGGGCACCCAAUUGCAUCCAGUUGGUUUUGGAACAUAACAAGCAUUCAACUCCUCUUGCUAAGUUCAACCUAUCUUUACGGUCCUUUCCCUGAUGCACUAGGACGAAUGACGUCCCUCUCUAUCCUGGGAUUUCGGGAAAAUGGAAACUCAGCCACGAUGGCAGUAGACUUGAAAAAUCUAUGUGAAUUGCGUAAUCUGUUGCUCGAUGGGAGCCUAUCAUCUGCGAACAUAACAGAGUUCAUAGAGAAGUUGCCACAAUGUUCUUCUAACAAAUUAUACUACCUAAGUUUGAAUGACAAUAAUAUGACAGGAAUAAUGCCACAGGUAAUGGGGCACCUAACCAGCUUAGGUAUUCUUAGCCUAUCUAACAACAGCAUUAGUGGAUCUAUAUCACCAGGGCUACAGAAUUUCACUAGUUUGGAGGCAUUAUUUCUCAGUUCCAACCACCUUAGUGGCCAGAUACCAUUGCUGCCAAGAGGCCUCGAAAUAUUGGAUGUCUCCAUGAACUUCUUGUCUGGGCAUUUUCACUUCCGAGCUCCAAAUAUUGAAGUACUAAUUCUAUCCUCUAAUAAAAUUACUGGUCCUAUUCCUGAAAAGUUUUGUGAGUUGCAAUAUCUAAGUGACUUGGAUUUGUCAAACAAUUCUUUCGUGGGAGAACUUCCUGUAUGUUCUUCGAUGCCAUACCUACGCUCCUUUCUCCUAAGUAACAACGAAUUUUCUGGAAAGUUCCCAUCCUUGAUCCAAAGCCUCUCCAAUCUAACUUUGCUUGAUCUUUCAUGGAACAAAUUCUAUGGGACAUUACCAAGAUGGAUCGGACAUCUGGCAAAGCUGCGAUUCCUAGAUCUGAGCCACAACAUGUUAUAUGGGAGUAUUCCAGUGAAUAUCACACAUCUUAGACAACUUCAACUAUUGAAUUUAUCAUUCAACAAUAUAUCAGGAUCAAUUCCUAAGUCAUUAUCAAAGCUAAUGGCAAUGACAAAAACGCAUAUACCUACAACUUAUGGAUUUGAUUGGUACACAGGUUGGGCAAAUAAUGAGUUCCUAGAUAUUUUGUCUGCAGUGACGAAGCAUCAACAACACAAGUAUGGCGCACAAAGUAUUUUUUAUAUUGUUGACAUCGACUUGUCCGUCAAUCAUUUAACUGGAGGAAUUCCAGAUGAAAUGGCUUCUCUUCACGGAUUGAGAUACUUAAAUUUGUCAAGGAAUUGCUUGAGAGGAAACAUUCCAAAGAAUAUUGGCGCUAUGGAAUCAGUGGAAUCAGUUGACUUCUCAUGGAACAGUCUUUCUGGUGAAAUCCCUGCAAGCUUGUCAGACUUGACAUUUCUAAGUGUCUUGGACUUGUCAUAUAACAAUCUAUCAGGAAGGAUACCGUCUGGGCGUCAGCUUGAGACCGUCUACGACAACAACCCAACUAUGUAUGUUGGGAAUAAUAAUCUAUGUGGACCCCCUCUUCAGAGAAACUGCUCAUUAGGAAAUAGUGAUCCUAAGCAUGGUAAUUUAAAGGCAAGCCGAGAGGAUUCAGAAUCAUUGUUCUUUUACUUAGAACUUGUAUCAGGGUUCAUAGUUGGCCUCUGGGGGGUGCUGUGUGCUCUACUCUUCAAGAAGCCAUGAAGAAUUGCUUUUAUCCGGUAGCAUAAUUAUUGUUGUGUGAUCAUACAUCAUCAUUUUAAUUUGAGGCCGGCACUCUGUUGGGGUUGGAUAUAUUAAUAACAUGUGGGAUUGAAUGUGGGACCAGCGAGGUCGUACACCAUUAAUAACAUAGACGGCAUGCAUGGCUCGAAAGCCACGUCACCAGCAUUAUUUCUCGAACACGAAACCUAACCAUUAAUAAGGCUAGUAGGUUCAUGGAGAGUUUUAUCGCAUUAAAUUCGAUGCCACAUUAUUAAUUUUACUGACAAAACGAGAAGAGAGAAGGAAAGAGUUAUAGGGAAUGUGAGAGGAGUUUCAUCACCCUAAAACUCACGUGGCACAGUUACCUAGUUCAGAGGCGGGUUCAGGAUUGGAAGACUAGGUAUUCAAAAAUUCAAAAUCUAUAAAAACUUAACCGUUUCAACACUAUUUUUUAGCAAAAAUAUUCUUAAAUACCAUUGAUUUGUAAAAAUAAUGGGCAUUUAGUGAGUACCCUUAAAUACCCUGAUCCGUCCCUAACCUGGUUCCCAGUCUUAAUAAGUGUACCAUAAAACUGUAUUAUAACUGUGCACUGAGACUGGCAUAACAAGGCAUGCAUAAUGUUUCUACCGUUGGUGGGUUCAUUCUUGCAUUGGUCACGUCACGUCGGGAAGUUCCCUAAACCGGAGCAGCAGCCACCUUGCAUUCAUCAGUUCAUCAUCGUAUCAACAAGACAACAACGACCACGGAUGACGGAGCAGGCGGGAGGCGGGAGGCGUGGGCUUUCAUCGGGCCAGGCAGGAACUCCUUCCUCCCUGUCUCGUCAAGACAGCAAUAUUCUUUGGCGGGAGAACUUCCUAUAUGUUCUUCGAUGCCAUCCCUACGCUCCUUGCUCCUAAGUAACAACGAAUUUUCUGGAAAGUUCCCAUCCUUGAUCCAAAGCCUCUCCAAUCUAACUUUGCUUGAUCUUUCAUGGAACAAAUUCUAUGGGACAUUACCAAUAUGGAUCGGACAUUUGGCAAAGCUGCGAUUCCUGGAUCUGAGCCACAACAUGGUAUGUGGGGGUAUUCCAGUGAAUAUCACACAUCUUAGACAACUUCAACUCUUGAAUUUAUCAUUCAACAAUAUAUCAGGAUCAAUUCCUCAGUCAUUAUCAAAGCUAAUGGCAAUGACAAAAACGCAUAUUCCUACAGAUAAUGUACCUGAUUGGUACGUAGGUUCGGAAAAUAAUGAGUUGCAAGAUAUUUUGUCUGCUGUGACGAAGCAUCAACAACAAAAGUAUGGCGCACAAAGUAUUUUUUUCUAUUGUUGGCAUCGACUUGUCUGUCAAUCAUUUAAGUGGAGGAAUUCCAGAUGAAAUGGCUUCUCUUGACGGAUUGAGAUACUUAAAUUUGUCAAGGAAUUGCUUGAGAGGAAACAUUCCAAAGAAUAUUGGCGCUAUGGAAUUAGUGGAAUCAAUUGACUUCUCAUGGAACGAUCUUUCUGGUGAAAUCCCUGCAAGCUUGUCAGACUUGACAUUUUUAAGUGUCUUGGACUUGUCAUACAACAAUCUAUCAGGAAGAAUACCGUCUGGGCGUCAGCUUGAGACCGUCUACGACAGCAACCCAACUAUGUAUGAUGGGAAUAAUAAUCUCUGUGGACCCCCUCUUCAGAGAAAUUGCUCAUCAGGGAAUAGUGAUCCUAAGCAUGGUAAUGAAAAGGCAAGCGGAGAGAAUUCAGAAUCAUUGUUCUUUUACUUCGGACUUGUAUCAGGGUUCGCAGUUGGCCUCUGGGGGGUGCUGUGUGCUCUACUCUUCAAGAAGCCAUGAAGAACUGCUUUUAUCCAGUAGCAUAUUUAUUGUUGUGUAAUCAUACAUCAUCAUCUUAAUUUGAGGCCGGCACUCUGUUGGGGUUGGAUAUAUUAAUUGGAUUACGGAUCGCACCGUCCGAUUUUCACUCACGGCUUACAGAUCGUGCUCUCUUGCGAAACCAAGCAAGCAGUGGCAGGUGGGGCGAACUACUCUGCCAAGGUCCCUUCAGAUUUAAGGCGAGGGGGAAGAGCGGAUGAAGAGAGCGAGGCGUGCGUAGUAGGCUAGUAUUGCCAGUCAAUGUUGGUCAGCUUGCUGAACGGAAUUGCAUGUGGGAUCAGCGAGGUCGUACACCAUUAAUAACAUAGACGGCAUGCAUGGCUCGAAAGCCACGUCACCAGCAUUAUUUCUCGAACACGAAACCUAACCAUUAAUAAGGCUAGUAGGUUCAUGCAGAGUUUUAUCGCAUUAAAUUCGAUGCCGCAUCAUCAAUUUUGCUAACAAAACGAGAAGAGAGAAGGAAAGAGUUAUAGGGAAUGUGAGAGGAGUUUCGUCACUCUAAAACUCACGUGGCACAGUUAUCUAGUUCAGAGGCGGGGUCAGGAUUGGAAGACUGGGUAUACAAAAAUUCAAAAUCUAUAAAAACUUAACCGUAUCAACACUAUUUUUUAGCAAAAAUAUUCUUAAAUACCAUUGAUUUGUAAAAAUAAUAGGUAUUCAGUGAAUACCUUUAAAUACCCUGACCUGUUCCUGAUCCGAUUCCCAGUCUUAAUAAAUGUACCAUAAAACUGUACGCACUGGUAUAAUGAAGCAUGCAUAAUGUUUCUGCCGUCCUUGCUUGGUGGGUCCAUUCUUGCAUUGGUCACGUCAUGUCGGGAAGUUCCCUAAACCGGAGCAGCAGCCACCUUGGAUUCAUCAGUUCGUCGCGUAUCAACAAGACACCAAUGACCGCGGAUGAUGGAGCAGGCGGGAGGCGGCAGGCGUGGGCUUUCAUCGGGCCAGGCAGGAACUCCUUCCUCCCUGUAUCGUCAGGACAGCAACAUUAGUGCCGUAUCGGUUUGCUAACCUCGGGGGACCAGGCUCAAAUAAGCGCAACGCGGCCCACCCGUCGGGGUUGGAAGGAGGGAAACGGGCCUGAGCUUAACGCUGUUAAAAGCGCGAUUGCCCCGGGUUGGUUGGUGGACUAGGCGUGGGCUCCCUCUCGGCCCAUACCGAUGACGACAUCCGAAACUCUGGCCCCCUCCCACGCAGCUGGGCUCCUGAGAGGCAAGGCCGAUUUAUGCACGCCGGGAUUGCUGCGCUUAUUAAUGCACGAGUUUUUUUAAAAAAAAGGUUAAAAAAAUUAAAUUCGAAAAAGGGGUGCCGGUUUGGAAAAAUUCGAAAAAUGGAGACCUCCCGCCCAUCCAACAGGCGGGAGGUCGAAAAAUAUUUCCCAGGCCCGUCCAGGGGGCCUCUUUGCGAAAAAAAACUUUUCUUAUUCGCGAAGAGACCCCUGACGCGGCAUCCCGGAGGGGCAUCCAGGCCUCCCAACGGGCGGGAGGUUCCCCGGAGGGGCAUCCCGCCCUCCCAACGGGCGGACGUCCCCCCCCCCCCCCCACACACUAUUUAAGCCCCCCACCCACCCCUAAUUCUCAUAUUAUUCAGCAAAAAUCAACAAAAAAAGAAAGGGAGGAGAGGAAGAGAGGAGAGGAAUCGGCGAAGCUCUAUUCACACGUCGGUUUGGAGGUAUGUUCUCGUUCUAGUCGUAUAAUUAUCAAUUGUUUUUAGGAAUAUUUAUUAGGGUAGUUAUAUUUUGAAUAGUUUUCAGUAUUUUCAAUAGCUUUUACAAAUAUUUGUUAGGGUAGUUCUAUUUUAAAUAGUUUUUAGCAUUUUCAAUAGUUUUUAGGUAUAUUUCUUAGGGUAGUUAUAUUUUGAAUAGUUUUUAGGAAUAUUUCUUAGGUUAGUUAUAUUUUGAGGAGUUUUUAGUAUUUUCAAUAGUUUUUACGAAUAUUUCUUAGGGUAGUUAUAUUUUGAGGAGUUUUAGUAUUUCAAUAGUUGUUAGAAAUAUUUCUUAGGGUAGUUAUAUUUUGAAUAGUUUUUAGUAUUUUUGAUAGUUUUUAGAUAUAUUUCUUAGGGUAGUUAUAUUUUGAAUAGUUUGCAGUAUUUCAAUAGUUUUUAGAUAUAUUACUUAGGGUAGUUAUAUUUUGAAUAGUUUAGUAUUUUCAAUUGUUUGCAGGAAUAUGUCUUAGGGUACUUAUAUUUUUCAUGCAGAUAUGACGCAGACACCGGAGCUCCUUGAUGCGAACACCGACGAACGACACAGGUCGUACCUGGCAGCGGUGGAGGGGCAGCAGCUUCACGAGUUGCGCCCUCGUGUAGCAAAGGAGUUGUUGCACCUGGACGACCGCUGGCUUGACAGAUGAUACUUUGUAUUUUUUUACGGAACUAAUGUAUAGCUUGUACGACAAUUGUAACCACAAUGCAAAAUAUACAGAUUACGUGAGGCUGGUUUGCUGCCACUCGCACGUAUGCUUCAAGCCGGCGACGGCCAAGAUGGUGGCGUCAAGAAGCGGAUGCAGCUGGACCGCUCUCUACUUGCGGCGUUGGCGGACAGGUGGAGUCCGGAGACGCACACGUUCCACUUGCCGUGCAGGGAGAUGGCCCCCAUGUUGCAGUACGUGUCGUACCUGCUCGGGCUUCCCAUUGCGGGUGAAGCUGUUGGCCCAGUUGCCGUGCCACCUACCUGGAGGGCGGAGCUUCAGGAGCGGUUUGGUCCAGUGAACCCGCCACUUUUUGUGAACGUACCUGACGUGCUCGGCCCCGCCAAGAGUUGGGUAAUACAAUUUAGGGUAAGUACAAUUAUUUUUAAUUAAUUUAAUUGAAUCAUAUGUGACUAUCUCUAAGCAUUAAACAAAUAUAUUUCAGGCUCAGGAUCUCCACCCUCUGGCUGCGCAGUACGAGGUGUCGCGCUUCCUGGAGGCAUAUCUAUUGUGGUUGUUCGGCUGGACUCUUUUCUGCAACUCUAGCGGCAAAGGCGUACUGGUUGUCCUCCCUCUGCACACGUGACGAGACGUACUGACUCACAAAGGCGAACCUAGUAUUUGAUAUUAUCGUCGAACCAUACUGCGUCGAGCGAGUGAUGAGGCAGUUCAGGCGACGAUAACACUUUCCUCUCCUACCUCGAGCGUUCCAGGCUGUGCCGCACAAUGUACAUGAGUAAGUUUGUGAUAACUCAUUUUGUAUUAACUAUAUAAUCGUUAUCAUAAAAUAAUAUUGUCUUUCAAAUGUUUGCAACAGAUAUUCGCGCAGGGAGUAUCAUGCCAACGAGGUCAACUGGGUGGUCAAGCUGCAGGAGUACGUAGGAGGGUGGCUAGCCGCACCUGACAAUGUGUGGGACGAGCCGCAGCCACACACGGAGGCGUCUUACGGUGCAUACCUCCGCUGGUACCUCCCUCGCACACGUCCGUACAUCACUCUUUAACAUAUUGAUGACGCGGAGCUUCAGCACCAGCCGACCAUCUCGAACACGUAUCCCUCAUACCAUGAUCAGGCGCAGCGUGGCGCGGUACGUCUUUCGCAACUUGAAUUAUUAAAUCUUUUUUAUAAAAGAUCGAUAACAAUAUUACUCUGCUUCCCAUUACGUAUGCAGAUCGAUCUGUUCAACUGCGUGGAGGUCAAAGCUACAUCUCAGAUCACGUUGCUUGAACGUGGAGUACGUGUACCGGACGCACAGUACAAAGACAGCUUUCGUAAGAUUCAGGACAAUUUGACGCGAGCGUUACGUGCACUGACGUGUCGCAGCAGAGACGACGUGGGGGCCUACAAUUCAUCUCAUGCGUCCGCUCACGUGUACACAGCUGGCCCGUCGACUUCUACAGCACCGCACGCAGCAUCCAGCGAUACUGCCGCUAGUUCCAGCUGUAAGUCCUUUAUAAUUGCCAUUUCGAUCAACUUUGAUUUACACGACUAAUUUCGUUUGUUUUUAUAGUCAUGCACUCGACGGCAAUGGGACCUCCUCCUGCAAGAAUGGAGACUCAGACGUUUGGCGCCUAUGCUCCAGGAACGUCUCUCCGUCGGGUUCGACGCCAGCUGCUCCGUACUCUCAGGGCUAUACUCAGCAUGCAUGGUCGAUGGGAGCUUCUGCACACGGUGGUCUAUUCGGUGUGCUGGACUGGGACGACUGGGAGGGUGGCUCCGUCACUUGGUCGGAGUUGGUGGGCGGCGGCGCCGGGCCUGACAACAUUGGUCCCUCCCAGACGUACGACGCUCCAGGUGCACAGUCCCAGGAUGACCCGUUCACGCCAGCACCUCCUCCACCUCGUCCUCACCGUGCUCCAGAUGCAUUCAGGUACUCGGAGGACCACAUACGCCGACGGCUUAGGACUGAGGGGGGGGGGAGGACGAAGAGAGCGCGAGGUCCAGGAUGUCAGACCCGGGGCCACCGGGCUGGGCGCGUUACGAAGUUUAAGAGAUUAAGCCCGUCUCAUCUCUUAUUCGUUUUGUUUAUCUCUUGUUUAUCCCGUUUAAAUAGGAGAUAGAGCUAACCAACACAGAGAGGAUCUACUCGAGAUCAGUUCUGGUGUGAUCCCUCGGAGGGGGUUGGUUAGCAUCUUUGUAACUCUGACCUCUCGGAUAUAUAAGGGAGGUCAGGGACCCCCCUCAAAACAGAAGAUCAUUAGGUCAUUCUAUACAGAAGGCAAUACAAACCAUACAGGACGUAGGGUGUUACGCUCCGUGCGGCCCGAACCUGUCUAAGUCUUGUGUUCCUUGCACCUUCGAGUUCCUGAUCUCGGCGUCCCCUCACCCAAAACUUACCACCUCGGGUAUACCCCACGGUGGGCAGCCAGUUAAACACCGACAGCUGGCGCGCCAGGUAGGGGAGCGCGUCGAAGAUCCACCGGCGAGCUCGAUGGCAUCGUUCAGAUUCAUCAGGUCAGUUCCCUCUCAGGGUACGACGUUCGUUUUUGGUUCAUGGGUCUGCAUCGCAGAUGGUGCGGGCAGUUUCCGGCGAUUCCUCGUCGACAUGAAGCCAAAAACCUCCGCUGCGGAUCUCCGCAGCGACCUUGACAAGUUCGUCGACGGGCUCGACAACUUGCCGCUCCACGCUUCCGCAGCGCAGAUCGAGUUGGAGUCCGAUCCAGCUUCGACUUCUUCUGGUGUUGUGGCAACUACCCCUGGUUUGGAUUCGUUCCAAUCUAGGGACCAGCACAACCGAUAUCAACUCGGUUUGUGCGAUUUGGCCACUAACCUUCAGGAGGCCCACGACUCUGGGUCCUUCUCCAUGUUUGAGAAGGACCUGGACUUGUUAAUCUAGAUCGGAAAGCUUGAGGCCACCACGUGUCGGGGGGCUUCGGGUUGUUCCGGUACCGGUGAUCUGGUGGUCACCCCCCUGCCGGAGGGGCACGUGGUGUACUGGAGGGGCAUGACGCUCCCCAAACUACUCGAGGCAGAGGGCCGACUCGUGGCCCACCUCGAGCCCUUGCCUUUUCAAGAAGGCAGGCCGUUGGCCACCGAGGCUGAGGGGUCGACUGAACUAGUCGACGAAAGUUCUCAUGAGCUUUCCUCCCGCCAGGUGCUGAUGGCCGAAGAAGGCGAGGACGAUGGGGAUUUUCCCAUCGACAACUUUGAAGCGGUCUCCGAGGAUGAGAUCACAGCCAAUGUCGGCGACGAAAAUGACACCGAUCGUGAAGCGCGGAGGGCCAGAAACAGGGCCCGCACAAUCCGGCGGAGGAGGGCCAACGAGCGUAGGAGAUCUAUGCAUCGUGAGCUUGAUCCUGAGUUCGCCGCCGUUAGCGAACGGGGGUUUCGGACUCCGGUGGCCAACAUCGCCAGGGUUACGGCCAUCCUUGAGCGCAGCCAUGACCCGAAGGUACGUCAAGCACUCUUGUACGCGCAGAGGGCUUGGAUCCAGUUGGAUCAACACAACCCGGCGCUUACCAUCAGGGAGGAGCGCGUGGGCGACAGUCGAAGUCAGAACCACAGCCGAGCGGCUGGCGGCUGUCCUCGACGUCAACCCAGCAACGACAACGCUUGCGGGAGCCAGACCCCUGGCGGGAGGCAGCAGCCACCGCAAGGGGGUCAGCCACGACAAGCCCAUCAUCGACUCCCUCCGGAGGAUCUGCGCCAACACAUCAAUGAAGGCCGCGAUGCGCGCACCGUGAUUUCUUCCAGGCGCAAGACCCGUGAAGAAGUUGAGAAUGAAGGUACUGAUUGUAGCGAUCGAUUUCCUACUUUUUCUGCUCGUUUCAGCAGCUACAAGUACCCGGAGGGCUUCAAGCCGAUCGGUAUCACCAAGUACGACGGCAAGUAGGCUCCCCAGCAGUGGCUUCGUUGCUACUCCACGGCCAUUGACGUCGCGGGGGGCUCAAAUAUCACCAAAGUCGUCUACUUCCCGAUGGCUUUGGACCCUGCGCUGCUCACUUGGCUGGAGAGCCUCGGCAGCAACACAAUCGACUCCUGGGAACGGCUUAAGAAAGUCUUCAUCGACAAUUUCCAGGGAGCGAUCACUCGUGCAGGUACUCGACAUGAUCUUGCCCAGUGCAAGCAAGAACGCAACGAGCUCCUGCGAUCCUACACGCGUCGCUUCUUCGACGUCCGCGCCACUAUCGCGAACAUCUCGGAAGAAGACAUCAUCGACUGUUUCUACAACGGCAUCACCGACCCCAGCAUCUACAGGGAUUUCAAGCGGAACAGGCCAAAGACUGUUGCGGGCCUUCGUGACAUGAUGCACGAUUGGUCCGAACAAGAGGAGAAGAUGCGGGAGCGGUUCCCGCGGCGUCAAGAUAACAAUUUGCGGCGCCCAAACGACAACCGCAAUGACACAAGCCAGCGGGACUUUUCGGGUUCACUCCGAAAACGAAAGCCAGAUAAUGUUAUCGCGGCUAUCGAUCGUCCUUCGCGGGGCAAGAAGUCGACGACGCAGGAGGAGUUCGAGAAGUUCCUGCAGAAGAAGUGCCCAUGGCAUCCGGGCGCUAGCCAUGCCGCCAUUGACUGCUACCACCUUCGGAGGACGUUCAGUAACACCGGUGGUGGAAAGAAGAAUAAGAAGCCUGCCGACAAAGAACCCGAGGAUGACGAUCACGACGACCAGGGGCGUAAUCCGAAGUUUCAGGAUGCCUCGAAGGUCGUCAACGUUAUCUUCGGCGGUGAUGAGGAGUUCGAGGCCUACGUGGACGACGUGGUCAUCAAGACCAGGGAGUCCGAUAACUUGAUCACAGAUCUGGAAGAAACUUUUAGCAGUCUACGCAGAUAUCGGUGGAAACUCAAUCCCACCAAAUGCGUUUUUGGAGUACCUUCAGGGAAAUUGCUCGGGUUCAUUGUCAGCAACCGGGGCAUCGAAGCCAACCCUGUAAAGAUCACGGCCAUCACUGAUAUGGAGGCUCCGGCCACAGUCAAGGAUGUGCAGAAGCUGACAGGUUGUAUGGCGGCCUUGAACAGGUUCAUCUCCCGACUCGGGGAGAGAGGACUACCUUUCUUCAAGCUCCUAAAAUGCCAAGACAGAUUCCAAUGGACGGAGGAGGCCGAGCGGGCCCUACAAGACCUGAAAAUUCAUCUCCAGUCGCCUCCGAUCCUCACCGCUCCGCUACCGGAAGAGGACCUACUACUCUACAUUGCGGCAACAACCCAUGUUGUCAGCAGCACUAUUGUAGUCGAGCGAGGCGAAGAAGGCCAUGCGUUUGGAGUGCAGAGGCCCGUCUACUUCGUCAGCGAGGUCCUCUCCGAGUCAAAGGUACGGUACCCAGCAGUUCAAAAGCUCUUAUAUGCAAUUUUAAUCACAUCAAGGAAGUUGCGCCAUUACUUCGACGACUACAAGAUCACUGUGGUUACGAAUUUCCCGCUGGCGGAUAUUCUUCAUAAUCAAGACGCCACGGGACGCAUAUCUAAGUGGGCAGUAGAACUGGGGGCUCUGUCAAUCGACUUCAAGCCACGCACUGCAAUCAAGUCACAGGCUCUAGUCGACUUCAUGGCUGAAUGGAGGGAGAAUCAAGUCCCAACCCCAGUGGACAAGCCAGAGCACUGGACCAUGUACUUUGAUGGAUCCCUCAAGCUCGACGGCGGGGGUGCUGGUGUCUUGCUUAUCUCCCCACGAGGUGAGCAGUUGAAAUACGUCCUUCAGAUCCUGUGGGCGGUAUCCAAUAAUGAAGCCGAGUAUGAAGCCUUGCUUCACGGGCUUCGUUUGGCGAUAUCACUAGGGAUCAAGCGACUACUUGUAUAUGGCGACUCUCUUCUUGUUGUUCAGCAGGUCAAUAAGGAAUGGGACUGCAACAAGGAGACGAUGGAGGCAUACGUUCAGGAAGUGCGCAAGCUGGAAAGCAAGUUCUCCGGCUUGGAGGUCCACCAUGUGCUACGAGAACACAAUGUUGGUGCAGAUAUCCUGUCCAAACUGGGGUCAACACGCGCUCAAGUCCCACCGGGAGUCUUCGUCCAGGAGCUCGCUCAGCCAUCCAUCAAGCCUUCUCCGCCGGUAACCAUCGACUCGGGUCCCCAACAACCCGACCGAGAGGUUCUGAUGCUGGGGGAGGAUUGGCGAGCGGCCUUUAUCGACUUCAUUCAAGACCAACGGCUACCGGCGGGAAUUGACGCCAAGAGCGCAGAAGCGGCACGCAUCUCGCGAAGGAGCAAGGGCUUCGCCCUGGUCAAAGGCACGCUCUACAGGCGUGGCGCUCGGUCAGGAGUUCUCAUGAAGUGCGUCACGAAGGAGGACGGUUACAACAUACUGCGGGAGAUUCACGAAGGCGUCUGUGGCAACCAUGCGGCAUCAAGAACGCUGGUUGGGAAAGCGUACAGGGCUGGUUUCUGGUGGCCCACCGCAGUCACCGACGCGGAGGAUCUCGUGCGCAGGUGCCAAAAUUGUCAAUUCUUCGGCAAACAGACACAUGUUCCGGCCCAUAGCCUCAUCACUAUACCGCCAUCUUGGCCGUUUGCUUGUUGGAGUCUCGACAUGAUCGGGCCCUUCACGACGGCGCCAGGCGGUUUUACCCAUGUGCUGGUGGCUAUCGACAAGUUUACGAAGUGGAUCGAGUACAAGCCAAUCGCCAAGCUCACGCCAGAUCGGGUUGUUGAUUUCAUCUCAGAUAUCUUGCAUCGUUUCGGCUUCCCCAACACCAUCAUCACGGACUUGGGGUCAAAUUUCACGGCCAACCAGUUCUAGGAAUUCUACGAGAAUGCUUGCAUCGAAGUUAAGUAUGUCUCAGUUGCACACCCGCGGGCCAAUGGACAAGUCGAGUGGGCGAACGGCUUGAUAAUCGACGGCCUCAAGAAGCGGCUAUAUGACGAGAACAGCAAGAAGGGAGGCAAGUGGGUACACGAGCUGCCGCAUGUAGUCUGGGGGCUUCGGACUCAGCCGUCCAAAGCCACAGGCCAAACACCUUUCUUCCUUGUAUAUGGAUCCGAAGCCAUUUUACCAGCCGAUAUCAUGUGGAAGUCCCCGAGGGUCGAAAUGUACAAUGAAGGCGAGGCGGACGAGGCGCGGCAGUUAGAGCUCGACUCUGUGGAAGAAGCUCGUUGCACCGCUCUUGUCCAGUCAGCCCGGUACCUACAGGGGAUCCGCCGAUACCAUGAUCGCAACGUCAAGGAGCGGUCAUUCAGUGUUGGCGACUUGGUCUUGCGUCGUAUCCAGGACGAAUCUGGCCUACACAAGCUCAACUCAAGGUGGGAGGGCCCGUUCGUCGUCAAGCAGGUCACACGGCCAGGGUCGUAUCGACUACAGUGCCCCGAAGGCCAGGACAUCCCAAAUUCCUGGAACGUCCAACACCUGCGCAAGUUCUACCCAUAAGCAAAUGCCCGGUGAUAUCCGAAUUCCCCGGGGGCUUGAAGAUCUCCUUUCCUCGAUUCAUAUUGGAGGCUUCGAGCCACAAUAUUCGGAUUGAACACCCCUUCUCCGGCGACAACAGCCACGGCCACGGGCGAAACUCUCGUGUAAGCUGGCUACUCGUCGUGAAUAAAGUUAUGACUACAUUCACAACUUAUCGACUUCAUUUUUUGUCGAACCACCCGCUCCGGCUACAACUCCUCGAUAUAUCGAGUUCCGCCACGACCUUAGGUGGUCGCACGCGACUGAAGUCGCACUUUGUCCAACUCAGUUGAUCCGCUCGACUGGCUAAAAAACAGCGCGUUGGAAAGGCUCGCAUAAAGAGCCACCUCGACUACAUCAUGAGUGGCUGCACUCAGAACAGUCAUUUUCUUUUUGCCAAAAGAAUGGCCAAAAUGCGGCAAGAACCGCACCUGCUCCUAGCAAGCUCGAUCCGUCCGCCCGGGUCUCACUCAGCUUACGGAGCACGCUCACAAACACGAGCGAUCUUCGACUACAAUCAGAGUCGCCGCACUCGAGCUAGUCCUAACUUUUCGCCCUACGCACAGCGACCCCGCGACGAUGCUCGCGUUCUUCCCUAACAAGUCUAGACCCGCUCGAUCGAGUUGCGGCUACUCUGUUAGACGAUUUCUAGCUGCCCUUCGGGUCGUUGCACCCAAGGACGCGUCUCUACUCGAGUCUCGUGAGCCUGGAUCCCAAUUCAGCUAAGACAUGCAAACAAGUAGAGAUGUCAAGGGAAGCAUUUACAUAAGAGAAUGAUUAAGUGUUUUAUACACCCUAAUCCUGCAGUACAUUGUGUACAAUCUGUUCUGCUACGGGUUGGGCCUCUUGCAGGUACUCCUCGAACCGCUCGUCCGAGCAGUCCGCCGCCAUCCCUUGCGCGAAGAUGCUCAGCUGCGCAGUCGGCACGAAGGACUUGACGUAUGCAAGGGCGUUGCUUACGCAAGCAACAGGAGCUUCGGAUAAGUACUUGAGCAUUUUCUUUGGGGCCUCACGAAGCCGUCCCAGCAGAGGCCGCGGGCCGGCCUCGCCUUCUUCUGGCGGGUCCACCAUGUCCACCAGUUCCUGGGCGGCUCCCUGGAGGUCCUCCAGCUCCUUGCGCCGCUGCUCGUCCCUCUCGCCCAACGCUUUGACUUGCUGAAGACAGUCGACGAACUGACGUUCAGUGUCGUCGAUCACCUUCUGCAGCCUUUCGACUUCAUCUGUACGACGAUACAGCAUAUUCUUCACGUCAGUAAGCAGCUCCUCUUUGUGUUUUAUUACUUUCCUAAGCUCUGUGGUAAAGUUGUUUCAGCAAGCAAGUGAAAUCGCUAAGGAAAAAGUACUCGAGGGAAGCGGGGGCCUACCUUGGUGCGCCUUCUUUUCUGCCUUGAGCUGCUCCUGGUACUCUGCUUGUUGCUCCUUGACCCGUUGUUGGAGCUCGGAGUUGGCCUUUUCAAGGUUCUUCAGGUCAUUCUUGAGCAGCCAGGUCUCUCGAGUCCUUUCCUGCUUCAGCAUGUCAAGCUCGCGCUGCAGAUAGCAGUUCUUCGUCUUCUCCUCGGAGAUGCGCUUGUGCAGGGCACCUAACUCCCGCGCGUCACUCACAACCGCGCGGAGUUUCUCCGACUUCUUCUGGGAUUUCGUAAUCACAUGCUGCACCAAAGGAGGAGAAUGAGUACUUAACAACUCACCAAUGCACGCACCCGGAACUUCACGCGAGCACUACCAUGGAGAAGUCGUAUAACUCCUUGAAGGUGCUCUUGAAGGUCUUCAGGUUCUCGGCCGUUAGCAGACGAUCAUCCACCAGGUCGGUGGUGAUGAUGUUCUGGUACCCGGGCCCGGUCCUCAGCACCUCACGGGGACUCUCCGAGGGCCCGGCGGCAUCCCCGGACGGCGGCGGCUGGACACCUGCAAGCAUACGAAGUAGUCACCACAUUGUCCCCGGACCCCGGCAUCAAGCCGCAGGCGGGUAAGCGCGUACCUGUACCACUGGUAGGAGCGGCAUCAGGGGCCACGACUUGUUCCUUGCCACUGGGCCCGGCUCCCUCUUGCCAGGACCUGGGAGGCGGCAAGUUGGGGAGCCCCGCAUCCGCUUCCGGGGCCGCGACUUGUUCAUCGCCACCGGGUCCGGCUCCUUCUUGUCGGGACUCGGGAGGCGGCAAGUCGAGGAGCCCCGCAUCUGCUUCAGGGGUCACCUCUGCGGGUACAGGCCCCCCAGGCGCCGAGGGCUCGGGGGCUGCUGCAGCUGAGGCAGGCGCCGCAGCCCUGCCCGGUUCCAGCUGGAGUUGCACCGCACUUGCAGCCCUGGCGACAUCGACAACAUGGUUAUCCACGCAGGAGCGGCCAAGCUUUUCAAGCGAUUGAAGCAAAACUUACAGUGUCGACUUCUUCUUGGCAGCCUUCUUCACCCGCCAGGCGCGACGGGGGACACCCGUCGCGGAUGGCGGGGUCUGGUCGGCCGGCGGAGGGGUCCCCGCCACGGCGAUUGUCACCGUCGUGGCGGCAGAAGGGCCCGCCUCCACUCCUUCGGGCUCAGUCCCGGGCGGCGGAGCAGGGAGGCUGCAAGGGGACGCUGUCAGCACUCAGCACCAUGGAAACUUUGGACUUGGCCAAAACAGCAAUUCCGUACCUGGAGGACUCAACUUCUUGAGCCUUGCGUUUGCGCACCUGGCGCUGGCCCUUCGGCACCGGUGGCAGAGCGCCGGUCAACUCCACGCUCUGAUCGGAGGAGUUGUCCCCGCGCAGCUCCCCCACGGUCUCCUCGCUCGCCUGCGAGCCCACGCACCCGGUGGACUCGCUGCUGCCUUGAAGCGCAGCAUGACGAGCCGCCUUGGUGGCAACGGCGGCAACAGGGCACGGACCUCCCUCGGCUUCUUCCCCCGCUGGCAAGACCACGCGUUCGGCGGCAUCGUUGCGGCUCUGGAUCGCAGCAAGGCGAGCCUUCUUGGCCGCCGUGGCUGCAGAGGGAAGGAGGUGAUACGCUCAGGGGAGGUCCGGCUGCGGCGGGUAGCUGCAGUACAGUUCCGAAUGUCCCUGCAGAAAGUCCCUCAGUUCAGUACCGGCGCAGUAGUCGAUUUCUUCGGCAAAAGGAGUCGAGCACUUACCGGCGGGGGCAGAUGUUGCGCGGAGUACAGGGUGGGCACGUACGGCACGGUGUUCACGUCCAGCAGCACCCGUUGAACCCGCUGGAGCGCGACUUCAUCUGGCACCUCCUCUGUGCACAUGCGAGAAGGGUCAGCAGAGCCGGUGUACUCGAAGCCUAGGCAACAUCUCUGCUGGAUGGGUUGGACGCGGCGCUUGUAAAAGGAGAACAUGACGGAGGCGCCGGUCACCCCCUCCUUCUUCAGCGCGUCGAUGGCCUCCAGCAGCUCCUUGACUUGAAUCAUUUCCAUGCUGGAGGGUUCAAGGAUCCAUUCCCCCCUCACCACGGGCGGUUUGCUCGACUUCGUCGGCAGGGGGGGAGCAUGGUUUUCGAUGUAAAACCAGAGGUUCUUCCACCCAGGGAGGUUGGAGGGAAAUCUAUAUGCAAGGUAUUUUUCGCCGGACUGCUGUCGCAGUUGGAUGCCGGCGCCCCCUACCACAGCGAGUUUUUUCGUGGUUGGCUGGGGUUUCACGCGGAAGAGGAAGCGAAAUAGAUCCCAGUGGGGUUCAAUUCCGAGAAAUGCUUCGCAAAAGUGGAUGAAAAUGGAGAUGUGGCAGAUGGAAUUCGGGUUGAGGUGAUGGAGCUCAAGCCCGUAGUAGUAAAGAAGGCCGCGGAAGAAAGAACAAGUGGGGAGGGCCAAUCCCCGUUCGGCAAAAUGGUAGAAUGUGACGAUUUCGUCGACAUUCUCCAUGGGGAAAGGUUCACGGAAAGAGGGGCGCUAGUUGACGAGAUUUUUCUCUUGCAGCAACCCCUCGGAAACAAGUUUUUUCAGAUUGUUGAGGGAGCACUUACUGUGUGUCCACUCCGCGGUUGUUGGUUCCGCAUCCUUCUUCAUUCCCUCGAUCUCUGACUUCUUGGACGUCAUCUCCAAUGCGCCGGCCAUGAGAUGCUCGGGGGCUGCGGGGAGAGGGGCGGGGAGGUCGGGGUGGGAGUUCUUCUUGGGGGAAGGCGGCGGCGCUUGGUUUGGAUUGGGGAAUUUGGUGGCUCUUGAUGGAAUGCAGAUUGAAAGCGUGGUUUUUCCCUCUAGUUAUCGCAGGGUUAAAUAACCAGCGGAGUGGGGGAAAGUUACUGUUUUGAAGAUCAAGAGUCGUUUCGUGGACUAUUCCGAAGAUGAGGGGUCAUUUGGUGAUCUGAUUAGAUUGCAUAUUUGAUUAAUCAUUUUUUCAGGGCUAAUUAGCCCGAAAAAAGGGGUUUUUCGAAUCUUUGGUCUAAUUACAUCAUUUGUACCAUCGCUUCGUUCUUUUCUUAACGUGCCAUUGUUUCGCCUGUAUGCCACGAUUUUUGGACCCUUAUCUCCAACUUUGUGGGAUUUGGAUUCAAGGCUCAGGGGCUGCGGGGUACGUGGCAUCGACUACUUAUUUUUCAAAUUUCUUUGACGGGUAAGGAAGACUACUGACAAGUGGGACCCUCAGCCUGAUUCUCCGAUUCAACCUAAGGCUCGGGGGCUACUCCAUAUGGAGUGCGAUUUUGCAAUCGCACGCCAUAUCAGAAAUAAAAUUCGGGGCAUGAGCACCUCAUAGCUUCGAUGCAGCCAAGCAAGUACUCGAAGAAGGACUUCAAGACGAAUCAUCAGAAAGAAGUCGAAGACUGCUUCGAAAGUACUCGAUAAGCCUGCAAUACUCAGCUACGAAGAGCUCGGGGGCUUGUCAGACCCGGGGCCACCGGGCUGGGCGCGUUACGAAGUUUAAGAGAUUAAGCCCGUCUCAUCUCUUAUUCGUUUUGUUUAUCUCUUGUUUAUCCCGUUUAAAUAGGAGAUAGAGCUAACCAACACAGAGAGGAUCUACUCGAGAUCAGUUCUGGUGUGAUCCCUCGGAGGGGGUUGGUUAGCAUCUUUGUAACUCUGACCUCUCGGAUAUAUAAGGGAGGUCAGGGACCCCCCUCAAAACAGAAGAUCAUUAGGUCAUUCUAUACAGAAGGCAAUACAAACCAUACAGGACGUAGGGUGUUACGCUCCGUGCGGCCCGAACCUGUCUAAGUCUUGUGUUCCUUGCACCUUCGAGUUCCUGAUCUCGGCGUCCCCUCACCCAAAACUUACCACCUCGGGUAUACCCCACGGUGGGCAGCCGGUUAAACACCGACACAGGACAGGCGGGGUAGAUACUUCUGAUUUGGUGGACUUUUUAUAUUUAAACUGUUUUUGUAUGAUACUAUUUUAUUUUUAAUGGAUUGAUGUAAUGUACUAUCAUAAUAUUUGGAUUCUACGUUGCAAAACGUUAUCGUUUAACCAUCUUCAUACGAGUUUUAGAUACAGUAAUCUUCUUCGUAAAAUUGAAUUAAAAUUUUAUAAGCAUUCAAAAGAGUAUGGUGAAUAAAUAUUGUAUUUGAAAAAAGUAUGAAUUUAAAAUAGUAUGUAAAACAAGAAUUCGAACAGAUAAGAAAUUCAGAAAAUGGCAACUUCCCGUUGGGUGGCCGGGAUGCCUCAGGGGCCUCUUCGUGAAUAAGAAACUUUUCUUAUUUGCGAAUAGGCCCUCAGGAGGCCCUCGGGAGGGGCCUGGAAAGAAUUCUCGGACCUCCCGCCUAUUGGAUGGGCUGGAGGUCGCCUCCCGCCCAUUGAUCGGGCGGGAGGCACCCAUUUUUCAAAAUUUUUCAAUACAGUACCCCUUUUUCAAAUUUAAUUUUUUAUCCCUUUCUUAAAAAAAAGUUAUUAAUGCAUGGCGACUGUUAACACAUCGCCUCCCGGCAAACAAUGUACAAAAUGGGCUUUGCCUCGGGAGAAGGCCUCCGUGUACCCUGGAGUCUGCUUCUUCUUCUCGUGGGGCAGCGUUGGGCUCGACCCAGCCCUCCUUCCAGCUCCACCCCCAACCCUUUUUGUUUUUUUUUCUUCUGCGCUUGUAACACGUCAGGCCAAAUGGCCACAGUGCAGACAACAAGAGAUAAAGAUCUUCCACAGUAAAGCAAGAAAACAAACCUUGCAAGUGCAAGUUGUCCUCCACAUGAGCGCACUCGUAUGGUAGUAAAAGUGUUGGCGGAGCAACACCUCUAGCUCUUUCUCUAAAGAUGAAAAGAAACAGAGCGCAUUCAUUGCUGAAUUGCUAUGAAUACAAGCGCGCGUUCAGUGGUAAUGCACGUUCCCGCGCACUGAGGGUAAUAGUGUCUCCAAUCUUUUCUCUACCAUGUGUAUGAACGGUGUGAGUGUUGUGUACGUCCUUGUAUGUACCCUUAAAAAGAUCCCCAAACAAUCUCAGAAACCUCUUUGCGGGGUGAUGCCAAAAGAGGAGUACGAGAUGCCCUUUUGAUCUCUCCGAACACCUGGUGGACGUGUGUGCAAAAACCAAGCCUAGCUAAGAUGCAGCGGCCGAACACAGUUGGGCGUGAGAUCACGAUGCAGACGGCGGACGGGCGGAGGGAUAGUUCCACGGCCAUCCCCAUCUCCAUUUUCCGGCGAAGGGGACGGAGCAACUUGCGGGAGGCCAUACAUGUGUGACUCCAUGAGGCUUACAGAUUUUAGAUCACUGGCAUCCCGGUUGCUCUACGAUCUAGUCGCUAUCGUCUUCGCAAAUCUCUGCUGGAUUGAAACCGGGUCAAUGUCGACGAUCGAGAGAGAGAUGGCCGUAGCUCGCAUCGCAAUCUCGUGAAAAGCAAGAGACCUUUGCGACGGCGCUGCCUUUUGUCCGCCACGCUAAUCCAACAAAGCAACUCCACGUAAAAGCCAUUCUAAAGCUUGACGACGGUAGGUAACGACCAUACACACUCAAGAAACAGAUAUGCAAAAAAAAAUGUGCUACCUCUGUUCUAAAAUAUAAUAACUUUUUAACCAUCUCUAUCACAAAAUAUAAAAACUUUUUAACCAAGUUAAAGUUAAAUAUUUUCAUCUUUAACCAAUAAUAUCUAAAAAAUAAUUACUUUUAAAUAGAAAAGGUUAUAUAUUGGUUUCAUUAUGAACAAACUAAUAUCACUUUUAUAUCAUCGAUGUUUAUAUUUUUUUUACCAUCUACGGUCAAAGUUUGAAAGGUUUGGUUUGAACAAACCUAAAAAUAGCUAUAUUUUGAGACAGAGGUUGUGGGAAGAAAAAAAUCAGUUGGCACUAAAAUCAUGGAUAACAGGAUAGGAAGUGAGCAUAGCUCAGUUACAAAUGUGACAGUAGUAAUAUCUGAACCGCCAAAGUUCAAUUCCUCCACACCUCAAUUUUAAGUGCCUAUUUCUUCUCUCUAAUCUCAUUUUCAGCGGUGAAUUAAAUCACCACCUAGUUCCUUCAAGAUUGGAUUUCGAGCGGCAGCAGGACAAGAAAAUGACAAAGUAAAAUUGCUGUAUCCAGCCUUCCAGAAGCAGAGCAACAAGCCCAGAGGGGCAAGUGAAGGAUGCAGUAGUGGUCAACCAUAGUUGAGCUUCAGAUCAUGCAUGACACGGACGCUGGAUGUUCCUUUGCCGCGGCCGUCUCCAAUGGCGACGACGGGGAGCAACUUGUAACGUUGCAGCCUAACUUUAUUAGUAGCGUCCCUGUUGCUUGCAACUGCAGAGCUGCAAUGCAGUCGCUUUCGCCUUCAGAAAUCUCCACUGGAUUUAUUUAAGCCGGGUCAAGGUCCACGAGAAAGAUAGCGGUUGCUUGCAUCGCAAUCUGACUGGAAUUGGCGGGAAGCUGCAGGCGAGGAAAAUGAUAGGUGAUUAAUUAUUAAUCAAGUUACCUGCCUGCUUCCUUCCUCACAUCUUCACGCCGUCUUCGCAUACAGGUCGUGCUUGGUUACCGGCCACCACUCGCCACGCACGUGUUGCGUAGCGAAUUGUGGCCGGUAACCAGGCCCAUAUUUCCCUGAUUAACCAGUGGUGAGAUUCUCUCCAAUAGCACAACUACAUUAAGUUGGCCUUGAGAUCUCUUCUACGUUUUCCUUUUUUGAUCAUCCUUUUGUUUCUGUCAUAACUUUUUAUGGUGAUGAUGUUGUGAUCACAUCUAAUAUAUAUGGGUGAUAAAUCAAUCUACUUUCCCCAUAGAUAUACACACACAAAACAAAAUGAUUAAAGCGCACUUUUUGUCAUAACUUUUUAGAUAAGAAAAUGCAGCAUAUUAGUUCCUUUUCAGAGCUGAGAUGCUGCAUUUUUGCUCUUUUUCAGAUAGCCACUGAUGAGCACGUGCUAUUGCCCAAGGCAUGAGAAUCAAAUGCCCCCUUAAUUUUCGAGGAGAUGCGAGAACAAAUGGGGAGGGCCCCCCCAUGUCCCAUAUCAUGAGAUCGAGACUAAGAAACCCCGCCCAUCCAAUCCAACAGCCACCAGAGCAUCAAGAUUAGUUUGACCGGGCUCAGCAAUUCCAGCCAGCCUUUUCCCCCACGAUUCCACAUACUCUAUGCACGCCGCCUUGUCCUGCUUCGCUAGCUGCUUCCGGUCGCCGACAAUGUAUUCCCCAAAGAAAACGAGAAGAAAACAGUGCCACUGCUGGUAUCCGUCGUCAGGAAACUUCAAAUGAAAAAUCGAGGCAACGACCGGGUCCUAGUUUAUUUUCCGCUCCUGAUCCGCGUCCACGUUGUAGACUUGUAGCAUGUACGUACAAGCUGUCCUCGAGAGACAGAGUGAGAAAAGGAAAGAAAAUGCUUCUGCUAUAUGGAAGUGGAUAGAGGAAUCUUCGUCGCAGCCGUGAACAUGCCCCUGCUUGUCCGAACCACCACCCGGCAUUCCGCCUGUUUCCAACCCCAACCGCUCCUGCCUUGGACGAACACAGCAGCUUGCCAUGCAGGUCGUUGCAUGCCCAUCUCCCAUCUCCCAAGUCCAAACUGGCAGGUGAAAUCGACCCAGCCUCCUUUCCUUCCCAUGAGCUCGGCAGAAAUAGGGGCACGUUGUUGACCACCUAAAUGUCUAAAUUCGUUUUUCAGAAAAAAAAGUCACAAAGCACACCUUUUGUUGUGCUCAUAGUGAGUAUAAUUUACUUGUUAACUAGGAGUGGAUUAUCCUCAAGAGGGCACAUCAUCUAGCCUUUGAUUUCUUUUUUAAAUCUGAUUUGUUCGAAAGUUCUUGCGGUGGUGGGAGCAUAUCCCAUAUGAGUACGCGAUUAUUUCCGUGAAAUUUGCGUGACAUGAAUACAGAGGGAGUACUACUUUUGUCCAAACGCACCUAAAUGAGAAAGAAAAAAAUCCUAGUGGAACGCUCAACGGGUCUUGCAUGUAAUGUGCUUUUCUUCAAACAAAUUGAAAUCACGUAUAUUGUCGUUUGUUUCAGCUAGCGCGCGAGUGCCAAAUAGAAACAGAAUUUUCAUCAGUACCAUUUUAUGUUCUACUGAAUUGGGGUUUGGGCGAGCUUACAAUGGCGAAGCUAUAUAGUAUCCAGGGGGGCACAUGCACCCACACAAAAAAUGCAAAAUAAAUGACUAGGAGUAAAUUUUCACCAUGUAUAAUGAUCAAAUCUAGUUUUUUUAAAAAAAAUUAUCCCACGUACUCUUUAGUCAAUGAAGUUAACUAGAAUGUUUGGAUCGCAUCAGAAACUUAAGAGCACACAAAGUUAAGUUCAGACCUUCUAGCACUCUAAUGGCAGAUACAGCUUAGCUCAUUGCAAGGUAUUACAUACACACCAUCACUCCGCCACCAAGUUCUUGCUACUUAUCGUGGCCGCCACCUCGAGCUUCUUGUUGGUGGUGUCGCAUGGAUUGUCGCGGCAGCUCCAGCGGAACGCGAGCUGCUUGCCGCAUGAGAGGGAAGCGUUGCUCCCUUCAAGGAAAACAUCACCCGCGACCCUGAUGGCACCCUCAAGUCGUGGCGGCGAGGGCGGAAUGACGGCUGCCGGUUGAUGGCAUCCUCAUGCGGGCCUUCUUCCAUUUUCGGAAUAUUUUUUAAAAAAUUUUGGAUACCUGACGCUUUAGUAAUGGUUAGUGUUUAUCAACCGAAUAUUAAAGGUACUUUUAGUACAAGAUCAUAUGACCGGUACUAAUGAUUGGUCUUACACUUUUAAGUAAUUUUGAAUAAACUUCUUUGCGGUUAGUACGUCUAAAUUUAUUGUGAAAAUAGCUGAAAAUUGUGUGACAUGAAUGCAUGAGGGAGUACUACUUUGGUCCAAACGCAGCUAAAUGAAAAAGAAAAAAAAAGCACAACAGACCUUGCUCUAGUUUCGUCACUCUGAGCAUACAAAUCUUUAUGAUCCAAAUGUAGUACCUAGGUAUGUGGUCAUGGGACAAGGUCUACCGAUCGAUCAAAUCUCCAACAAGCGCUCAUAGCUGGUACUUGUUGUGAUCGUUUGUAAAAAUUUGUUUAAUAAAACUUGUCCUCCAUGCAUAUGUGUGAAGGAAAAAACGUUGUGAACAUGGUCUGUCUGUCCAAACCCGGCAUUCCGCGCCUGUUUCCAACCCCAACCGGUCCUGCCUUGGACGAAACACAACAGCUUGCCAGGCAGGUCGUUGCGCAGGGGGACCAAGAUCAGACCGUGCCCAGAUCCCAUCUCCCAAGUCCAAACUGGCAGGUGAAAUCGACCCGGCCUCCUUCCCUUCCCUUCCCAUGAGCUCGCGAAUUAAUCUCUAUUUAUGCAAUUAGUUUUAUAUUAAUCUAUAUUUAAUAUUUUUAAUUAGUAUCUAGACAUCCGAUACGACAGAGACUAAAGUUUAAUCAAAAGUAUCUAAAUAGCUCCUAAGCCGGACGCCGAGGCAUUUCCGGUGGUUAAAGAAAUCCGUCCAAGCAAGAGACUCGCCUUAAUAGCAGUGACUAUAUGAUUUCCUUUUCUUCUCUACUGGUUAAUCGUUAAAGUAGUAGAGUGUUGUUGACCACGCCAAUAUCUAAAAGCACACAAUUUUUAUGCUAUAGUGAGAAUAAUUUACUUGGUUAAUUAGGGGUGGAUUAUCCUCAAGAGAGCACAGCAUCUAGCCUUUGAUUUAUCUUUUGAAUGUGAUUUGUUCGAAACUUUUUGUGGUGAUGGGAGCAUAUGAUACCCCAUUUGAGUAUGCCAUUAUUUUCGUUUCUUUUGUGAAAGGAUAUGUAGCUUUUUACUCUCAUCAAGAUAGGCAAAAUCAGCGAAAGGAUACAGUACGUCAGUACUGCCAAUACCAAAAAUAGCGGUACUACGAUAUUCCCAACUGAGCUCCUUUUUGGCAUAUAUAGAUAUAGUAGCUGCUGCUGCUACUGCUCGAGCAUAAGAAUCAGACGGUCCCUUUUUCCAGGUGACGCGAUAGCAAAUGGGGAGCGACCGAGCGAGGGCCCUCCCAUGCAAGGACGGGGUGUCAGAUUGAGAAAUCCACGGCCAAUCCAGCGACCACCGAUCAUCGCACGUUUGGUUUGGAAGGCUAAACUUUAAUCUCAUCGUAUAAAAAAAUCUUACUAUUUAGAAGUAUUAAAUAAAAUUUGUUUAAUUUUUUCACACAUGAGUGCUAAUUCGCGAGAUGAAUUUAAUAAACCUAAUUAAUCUAUGAUUUGCAACAGUGAUGCUACAUUAACCAUCCGCUAAUUAUUGAUUAAUAUACUUAUCAGAUUCAUCUCGCGAAUUAGCCUGGAGAUUCUGCAAUUAUUUUUAUAAUUAGAUUUUAUUUAAUACUCCUAAAUAAUAAUAUUUUUUUGAUGUGAAAGGGCUAAAGGUUAGCCUCGGGAACCAAACACCCUCUUCUUAGGGAGUGGAACAUCCCUAUGAUUAAAAGUUUUGUCGCGGCAGCUCCAGCGGAACGCGAGCUGCUUGCCGCAUGAGAGGGAAGCGUUGCUCCCUUCAAGGAAAACAUCAUCCGCGACUCUAAUGGCAUCCUCAUGUCCCAUGCUGCAACUUUCACUGGAUAUUUCCUUUCAAAAAAAAUUCACUGGCUACAGUGACCAGCAGGACAACGGUUCCAAGCUUCUCAGUACAGAAUCAUUGUUGCGGUAUACUGUCCUUUCUCCGUACUGUAUCCAGCUGAAAUGCUUCCAAAAUUCUAUUGUGACUUGUAUUUUUCCGAAUUUUCCUUAGUGGGUUAACGUUUUGUUGCCCAUUUGACACUCUUUUGCUAGAAUUUCAUAAGGAAGCCAAUUACUUGACGUGUAGUGCGUUGUUGUAACCCACAAGCUCUUGUAUUUACCAUCCUUUACCACCUCUAGUUACAUUGUUGUAUGUGUGAUUAUUCAGUUUUAUGUGGACCAUACAUGGCAUUCCAGAACUUGUGGUCACUAGUCUUUAUUUGAAUAUUCAACCACGUGGUCAACUUGUGGUGACAACUACACUACCAAGUAAUUUUCAUUUGCCGUGUCAUAUAAUCUCGAUUAGUGCCAUUUUAUAGUCUACUAAAUAGGUUUGGGCGAGCUCACAUGCACCCACACCAAAAUGCAAAAUCAACAAGCAAAUUUUCACCAUGUAUAAUGAUCAAAUUCUCCUAAAAAAUGUAUAACGAUCAAAUUCAUAAACCCACAAGGCAAGCGCACCCUUCUAAUUUGCUCUAACUUCACCAUUUGCAGGGUUACAAAUAUUUAUGAUCCAAAAGUAGUACCAUACGUCUGUGGUCAUGAGAUCAAGGUCUACCGGUCCAAUCUCCUACAAACAUUUAUAGAUGUGAGGAUAACUGACUGCGUGAAGAUCCCAGUUAUGAUUAUUUAUAAAAAAAAGUAUUUAACAAAACUUAUCUUCUCCGCGUAUGUGUGAUGGAAAAAGGCUGUCUAAUUGGAACCCCAUUUUCCUUGUGUUUACCAGCCAGUCAUGCUAGGUGUUACGUCGUUGUUAGUUGUUACUCGGUUUAUGUGGACCGCAACGUCUUAUUCCACAACUUUAUGUGGUCACCAGCCUUUGAAAAUUCUCCCACAUGCUCUUCUGUCAAUGAAGUUAGUAGAUCUUUGGAUCGCAGCAGGAAUUUAAGAGCACACACAGCUCAGACCUUAGCACUCUACUAGCAGAUAGCUUUGCUCAUUGCCAGGUACUGCGCACAGACCACACCACUUGCUAUGCAUCCCUCCGCUGCCAAGUUCUUGCUUCUUCUCGUGGCCGCCGCCUCGAGCUUCUUGUCGGUGGCAUCGCAUGGACUGCCGCCGCGGCAGCUCAAGCGGAACGCGAGCUGCUUGCCGCACGAGAGGGACGCGUUGCUGGCCUUCAAGGAAAACAUCACCGGCGACCUGAAGGCAUCCUCUCGUCGUGGCGACGAGGCGGAAGGGCUGCUGCCGGUGGAUGGGCGUCACCUGCAGCAACCAAACCGGCCAUGUCCUCCAGCUUGAUCUAAGCAUGGAAAUUUGGCAGGCCAGAUAAGUCCUUCCUUACUGUCUCUAGAGCAUCUGGAGCACUUGGAUUUAGGCGGCACACUUAUCUGGUCAUGAUGGUCGUUUUCCCGAAUUCCUGUGUUCUUUCAAAAACUUGCGAUAUCUCGCCUCUCGUUGUUGUCGUUUGCGAGCAGACUGCCUGCUCAACUUGGCAACCUUUCCACACUGGAAUACCUUGUCCUCACGCAUACUUUGCCGAGUGAGGUGCCGCCUCAGCUCGGUAACCUCUCAAACCUGCGAUGUCUUGUCUCGCUUCUAAUAUUUGUACACAACCGAUAUCUCAUGGUUAGUUCGUCUUCAUCAGCUUGAGUAUCUUGAUAUGGCUAGCAUAAAUCUAAGUACAAUAGAUAAUUGGCUUCAUGUGGUAAACAUGAUUCCAUCUCUGAAGUUUCUCUCCCUUUCGACUGCUCCCUUCCCAGAGCAAACCAAUCGCUCACUCACAUAAACCUCACAAAACUUGAGAUGCUUGAUUUAUCCUGAACUACUUUAGGCACCCAAUUGCAUCCAGUUGGUUUUGGAACAUAACAAGCAUUCAAUACCUCGAGCUAAGUUCAACCUAUCUUUACGGUCCUUUCCCUGAUGCACUAGGACGAAUGACGUCCCUCUCUUACCUGGGAUUUGAAAAUGGAAACUCAGCCACGAUGGCAGUAGACUUGAAAAAUCUAUGUGAAUUGUGUAUCUGUGGCUCGAUGGGAGCCUAUCAUCUGGGAACAUAACAGAGUUCAUAGAGAAGUUGCCACAAUGUUCUUCUAGAAAAUUAGACUACCUAAGUUUGAAUGACAAUAAUAUGACAGGAAUAAUGCCACAGGUAAUGGGCACUUAACCAGCUUAACUUCUUAGCCUAUGUAACAACAACAUUAGUGGAUCUAUAUCACCAGGGCUACAGAAUUUCACUAGUUUGGAGGAAUUAUUUCUCAGUUCCAACAACCUUAGUGGCCAGAUACCAUUACUGCCAAGAGGCCUCGAAAUAUUGGUUGUCUCCAUGAACUUCUUGUCUGGGCAUUUUCACUUCGGAGCUCCAAAUAUUGGAGUACUAAUUCUAUCCUCUAAUAAAAUUACUGGUCCUAUUCCUAAAAAGUUUUGUGAGUUGCAAUAUCUACGUCACUUGGAUUUGUCAAACAAUUCUUUCGCGGGAGAACUUCCUAUAUGUUCUUCGAUGCCCUCCCUACGCUCCUUGCUCCUAAGUAACAACGAAUUUUCUGGAAAGUUCCCAUCCUUGAUCCAAAGCCUCCCAAUCUAACUUUGCUUGAUCUUUCAUGGAACAAAUUCUAUGGGACAUUACCAAUAUGGAUCGGACAUCUGGCAGAGCUGCGAUUCCUAGAUCUGAGCCACAACAUGUUAUAUGGGAGUAUUCCAGUGAAUAUCACACAUCUUAGACAACUUCAACUCUUGAAUUUAUCAUUCAACAAUAUAUCAGGAUCAAUUCCUCAGUCAUUAUCAAAGCUAAUGGCAAUGACAAAAACGCAUAUGCCCGGACCUACUAAUGGACCUUAUUGGUACACAAGUUCGGAGAAUACU